CUCUUUAAUUUUUUUUAUCGAUCAAACUAAAACGGAAAUGUGAUAGAGAUCUUAAAAAUGUUUUGUCUUCGCAAAACCGAUGUAAUCGCGUCUAAAUAAUCUGGUUUCAAUAUCGGUGAAUUUUAAUGUGAUUAACCUUUAGAAAUAAGUAUCUUGAUUGCGUUAAUAAGCGUCAUCGUUAUUUUGCACUGCGGAUUUAUUAAUAAUAAUGAAUAGACACGACUAUUUUGCGUGAACUUGUUUCUCAUAAUUGCAUGACCGAUGACUGCCAACAUUUAUGAUUUAAAUCUGUCGUAAAUUGCACUUUGUGCCAACACCGAAAGCUAACGUCGUUUCUUCUUUCAAUUCCGCCCACUCGCGGAAUUUCUUCUAGAUCAUUACAAUAUGUUACUUUGUAAGAAAUAUGUGAGACAUGUGAAGCCUUUACGGAAGCAAAGAUACAAAAAAGGAAGGAAACGGACAUGCCUAUCGGCGUGGGUGAAAACUGUCCAAGCAAGCCAGCGAAGCACGCGUAGACAGACACUGACCGUGACUCCCAUGGAUGCCUAGAAGAGGUUUACUUUAUGUAAAUAGAGGGGACGAUCUUCUGUCAUUGCAACAUCGGGCCAAAUCAACCGUAGCAUAUAUUUGUCGCGUUUAUGCCGCAUUUCUAAAAUUUUCUCUCCUACAUGACGCAUAAAACAUUCAAAAGUAAUCAAGACUGCGAUGGAAAGUCAAAAUACGGCGAGGAUGGCGGCAGUAAAAGUAGAAGAGAGCAGUGGGACAACGAGAGGGAUGAGGAAAAGGUUGCAGACGUAAAGUGUAAACAGCCGAGGUGCGAUUUGACGCGCACUCGGCCUGGGCCGUGUGUACAAGGCGCGCCUUCCGCUUUAAGAAUCGCCCCGUGGAAGAGGACGAUGGCUGGAAUCUGUAAAUCUGUCAUUACGGCCGUAUUCGUGCGCAGGAUAUGAACUUCUUGGUCGCGUCGCACAUCACCGCGCCGCGCCGCGACGCUUCCUCAGAUCUGGCCGGUUGACUUCUUCAGAGGGUCGCGGCAAGAGUUUUCGAUCUUUCGAAAGUACAUGUGGUGUACAUAACAAUCGAGAUAUCAAAUUAAGGAGAUUGGUUGCUUCAUCCAGUGAGCGCCGCUUGCAGGACUGUCAGGAUGCACGUGAAUCCUGGGGGGUGAUACAGGAUCAGCACGACCCGCGACAACCCAAGCGCUGCUGUGGAACGCAUAUCGGUACCUUUUAUCAUCACACGGAACGAAAUCCAUC
This is a long non-coding RNA of Camponotus floridanus (Florida carpenter ant), 1256 nucleotides long. RefSeq lists it as uncharacterized. Lineage: Eukaryota; Metazoa; Arthropoda; Insecta; Hymenoptera; Formicidae. The record is from RefSeq and is a predicted model, not a curated record. The transcript has 4 exons.